GACGUAGGGCGCGAGCGUUGUCCGGAUUUAUUGGGCGUAAAGAGCUCGUAGGCGGCUUGUCGCGUCGUCCGUGAAAACUCACAGCUCAACUGUGAGCUUGCGGUCGAUACGGGCAGGCUAGAGUUCGGUAGGGGAGACUGGAAUUCCUGGUGUAGCGGUGAAAUGCGCAGAUAUCAGGAGGAACACCGGUGGCGAAGGCGGGUCUCUGGGCCGAUACUGACGCUGAGGAGCGAAAGCGUGGGGAGCGAACAGG
RNAcentral lists this ribosomal RNA (253 nucleotides) under uncultured bacterium. RNAcentral describes it as "partial 16S ribosomal RNA". It matches the Rfam family "Bacterial small subunit ribosomal RNA", at positions 524 to 776 of the family's 1533-position model. The record is from RNAcentral.